GUUUGAUCCUGGCUCAGAACGAACGCUGGCGGCGUGGAUAAGACAUGCAAGUCGAGCGCUGAUUACGGGGUAGCAAUAUUCCGUGGUCGGAGCGGCGCAAGGGUGCGUAACACGUGGGUAAUCUGCCAUGAAGUUUGGAAUAACUCGCUGAAAGGCGAGCUAAUGCCGGAUGUGAAAGCUGGGAGGCAUCUCCCGGUUUUCAAAGCUGGGGACCGUAAGGCCUGGCGCUUCAUGAUGAGCCCGCGGCCUAUCAGCUAGUUGGUAAGGUAACGGCUUACCAAGGCUAAGACGGGUAGCUGGUCUGAGAGGACGACCAGCCACACUGGAACUGAGACACGGUCCAGACACCUACGGGUGGCAGCAGUCGAGAAUUUUUCACAAUGGGCGCAAGCCUGAUGGAGCGACGCCGCGUGGGGGAUGAAUGGCUUCGGCCCGUAAACCCCUGUCAUUUGCGAUCAACCGUUGUUGUUUAAGAGAUGACAACCUGAUAGUAGCGAAAGAGGAAGGGACGGCUAACUCUGUGCCAGCAGCCGCGGUAAUACAGAGGUCCCAAGCGUUGUUCGGAUUUACUGGGCGUAAGGGGUGCGUAGGUGGCGGGGUAAGUCGGAUGUGAAAUCUCCGAGCUCAACUCGGAAAUGGCAUUGGAAACUGCUCUGCUCGAGGGUUGGAGGGGGGACUGGAAUACUUGGUGUAGCAGUGAAAUGCGUAGAUAUCAAGUGGAACACCAGUGGCGAAGGCGAGUCCCUGGACAACUCCUUACACUGAGGCACGAAAGCUAGGGGAGCAAACAGGAUUAGAUACCCUGGUAGACCUAGCCGUAAACGGUGCACGUUUGCUGUAAAAGGAAUCGACCCCUUUUGUGGCGUAGCCAACGCGUUAA
Molecule: ribosomal RNA, 880 nt
Filed under: uncultured bacterium
Lineage: Bacteria
Description: bacterial SSU rRNA
Rfam family: Bacterial small subunit ribosomal RNA
Source: RNAcentral